UGUGGGGAAGCCGUGCCCUACCUACAACAGUCAUCAGCAUGAAAGCCUCGCUAUCCCCACUGUAUAACCUGGCUGAUCCAAAACUCAUCUUACACUUUCGGUUGGUAAUUAGCUCUGAUAUCAAGUGUGACGCCCCAACUUUCCAUAGGGUCACCCAUCCUAGGACCACUCUAGUCCGAACACGCUUAACUCUCUUAACAUCUUGGGCCCUAGCCAUCCCAAAAUACUAUAGACGGAUUAAGAAGUUUAGUUAUAUUAUAUCUUAU
RNAcentral lists this long non-coding RNA (266 nucleotides) under Ananas comosus (pineapple). RNAcentral describes it as "long non-coding RNA (ACOM_LNC013539)". The record is from RNAcentral. Lineage: Eukaryota; Viridiplantae; Streptophyta; Magnoliopsida; Poales; Bromeliaceae.